RNAcentral lists this ribosomal RNA (494 nucleotides) under uncultured bacterium. RNAcentral describes it as "partial 16S ribosomal RNA". It matches the Rfam family "Bacterial small subunit ribosomal RNA", at positions 28 to 507 of the family's 1533-position model. The record is from RNAcentral.
GACGAACGCUGGCGGCGUGCCUAAUACAUGCAAGUAGAACGCUGAGGAGGAGCUUGCUUCUCUGGAUGAGUUGCGAACGGGUGAGUAACGCGUAGGUAACCUGCCUGGUAGCGGGGGAUAACUAUUGGAAACGAUAGCUAAUACCGCAUAAUAGUAGAUGUUGCAUGACAUUUGCUUAAAAGGUGCAAUUGCAUCACUACCAGAUGGACCUGCGUUGUAUUAGCUAGUUGGUGAGGUAACGGCUCACCAAGGCGACGAUACAUAGCCGACCUGAGAGGGUGAUCGGCCACACUGGGACUGAGACACGGCCCAGACUCCUACGGGAGGCAGCAGUAGGGAAUCUUCGGCAAUGGACGGAAGUCUGACCGAGCAACGCCGCGUGAGUGAAGAAGGUUUUCGGAUCGUAAAGCUCUGUUGUAAGAGAAGAACGAGUGUGAGAGUGGAAAGUUCACACUGUGACGGUAUCUUACCAGAAAGGGACGGCUAACUACGUG